Molecule: long non-coding RNA, 4947 nt
Organism: Malaclemys terrapin pileata
Lineage: Eukaryota; Metazoa; Chordata; Testudines; Emydidae
Exons: 3
Source: RefSeq, a predicted model, not a curated record
UAAGAAAUCAACAGACACACUGGAAAUCAGACUCUUGGAGGAUGGAAAUGGACUAUAAAUAGUGUUCUCCAGUUACUGUGUCAUUAUCCAAGAUAUACUUUUCUUUAAUUAGACAACUGGGAAUGGAUUCAGAGUUCACCACGCCCACACCUCAUUUUGACAACACACUACACCACGGUACAGAGUGUAUUAAUCAGUAUGAGCUACAAGCUACUGACAUUUUCGCACAAGCUGUGCAAAUGCUCAUUUCAGUAACAUGAGCUUCAGGCAAGUGAUCCACCUACUUGAGAUAAACAGUGUGAACAGGAUUGUAAUGCUGCAACUGCAGUGUCACAACACAGGAAAACACCCACAUUAUAUAAUCUCUGUCUACAUACAUAUGUGACAAACUGGGAAUUUUCUGUAAUAUUUUAAUGAAACCGCUGCGUGCCUCAGUUUCCCUCUGCACUUCAUAUUGUUACCCAGUGGAGGGAAAAGUGUUAAGUCUGCUCAUGGAGGCAGGACAGGACAUGAGGUUCGGGUGUCACCUUGCUGUCUGGGCCACAGCGAAUAGGAUCAUUAAGGAACUGGCUCAAACCCGCCGAAAGUGACCCCACGUAAGUGCAGAAUCCAAAGAAAGCCCGAUGACCAGAACGUUGACACACAAUGACCAAGAGGAAGGAGCCCCCACCUCCUCUCACCCCAGCAGGGAAGCUAAGCAGAGACCCCAGCUCGAGAACAAAGGACUGAGACAUGAUCAGCAGAGGAUAAAGUGUGGGAUACUGGAGGAAGCUGGCUGCUCUCUCCUGGGACUGACAGAGAGCCUAAAAUGGAAUCCACUACAGCUUGGCUGGUGGUUUGCUCUGACUUGACCAGAAUGGGCUAUGCUUUAACUUUGAUUUCUCUAUGUGCGGUGUUCCAGUUGACUAAUAAAUCCUACUCUGUUCUGAAAAGUGUGUUUGGUGUCACUGCAAAUACUUGCUCAGUUGCGUUAAUCCCUGCAGGGUGGAUAAGUCUCUAACUAGGAGUCUGUCUCAAUGGGACUAGCUGGGCAGAGCUCACGGUGUGAAGCCAGGAGUGCUGGAGCCCAGAGGUUCAGCCUAGGAGGCGGUGAGUCUGGGAGGUCUACCCUUAAGCUAAAGAGUGGGUCUCCUUGGGGCUUGCCACACUCCAGGGGUUCCUCCAAGAGGCUGUUUAAAAGUUAGGGCAUAGUACUGAUUCUAUGGAAACGUGGCAAUAUAUUAGUGUACUCAGGGCUGGUAUGUUUUUAUAUCUUGUUCUGCUCAGUCAUCUGUGCAGGAAUUUAGCAGUAAGGAGAGAUCUACAGCUGGAUGACUAAAAAAGAAAAAAGUAAUUAAAUACUUUCCUGGAAACCCCCCAAAGCCCUAGCCACGGUGACCACAGCUAUAGACUUUGUGUAGGAUACUGUGGAUGUCAAAGAUUUAGAUGCUUGCCAUGCAGAAUCGUUGUACUGUGAGCUCCCACACAGUUGACAGUGCCCCUGCCUCAAAGCACCCACAAGUGUGUGACAGGUGAAAUAUGCACAGCCACAAAAACACAACCAUUCAAUCUUCAGUAUGUUUUUGUUGGUCUCUUAGCCCUACUUAUAACAUAGUUACAACAAAUAUAAGCACAUAUUACAACUUUUUCUACUUUUUUUUUUUAGUUGACCCCCAUCCCUCCACAAACAUGUCAGUCCCAAAUGACAAAAGGACAAGUUAUUUUGAAGGUCUGUGUUCUGCAACAGACAAAUGCUUCAGCAGCUCAGGGCAGUCAGUACAUAGUGUUCUGGGGUUAUGUAACUACGGAUUGCGAAAGAACAACCAGAACUUUGAAAACAGAAGCGAGCUGACAGCACUUACAGCUUCCCCUUAACAUCAUAAUUUGCCCAUGAAAUUACAUUGUGGAGAGUUAAAAAGCAGUACCACAGAAGUGAAUGUUGCAGGCUCUAAGUCCGUGAUGACUUCCACGGUAUGUGUUAGAAUGUGUUGGAAUGAGCAGGAGUUGUACAGUAAGGGUUCUCUGGAGCAGUGGGAACAGCUGCAAGGAAGAAGGUCCUUAUCCCUCACACCCUCAGAAUAGGAGUGUAUGGCUUAUGGGCAGCCAAAAGCAUCUCUGAGUGAACUCAGGAGUAAGCGUGGGAGCCUGAGGAUAGUGCAAUUGCUGAACGGCUAUGAAGAAAAGAGCCUGGGGCUACUGGAGUGAAUGAUGAGGCGCAGUUACUACGUUGUGGCAUUAAACUUUGUUCACUCGUCCCCAGUGCUCCAUGCUGGCAGGGAAGUCGAGAGCGGCCGGGGAAGAGGCAGAGAGGUCCCAGGCUGCUUACUCAGCGGGUGCCACAGCAGCCCCCACCAGGAGUAUCACCUGCAGCUCAAGCACUCCUGCUUCCUAGAACUCAGCUGAAUGCAUGACAUUCAAUUCAGGCUGUGGGAGUGUGAGAAAGGGUGCCGGUUCUGCGUGUGAGACAAGUUUUCUAAACAUGCUUGGCCCAGGUGUACCUCCUGCUGAAGUCAAUGGGGCUAGAGGGCAGAAUUGGCCUUCUGACUGCACAUUAAGAUAUGCUUGAAAUAUGUAGCCCAACAGGCCGAGACUCUGCAACAGGUGACUGCGGAAGGGAGAAGAGCUCUUGUGUGGAAGCAUUAAUGCAAGGAUCUGGGCUUUAACUUGAAUAAAUCACUAAAAUAUCAACUGAAGAGAAACCAGCAGCAAAUAAAAUAAAACAACAACAAUAAUAAUAAUAAAUUAAAAAUGAGCAGAGGAAAUGGCUUGUGUGUUUGCAAGUGCGGGGCUUCAGUGAAGAAUAUCAAUAUAAACUCACUUGCAGCCUAAUCCAUAUUUAGGCACCUAAAAAUGGGCCUGAUUUUCAGAGGGGCUGAGCACCCAAAAAUCCUGCUGAAGCAGUGGACGCUCAGAACCUUUGAAAAUCAGGCUGCUCUCAUUUAAGGCCACAAUUCAGCAAAGCACUUACCCAUGUGUUUAUGUACAUACCUAUUCAGCAAAGCAUAAUAGCUAAACCUGCUUAACCCUAAGCACAUGCUUCAAUCUAAUUUAUUAAAAUUAGGCACAUGUUUAAGGACCCCACUGAAUCAGGGCCUAAAUGAUUUGUCCAAGGUCACACAGGGAGUCUGAGGAAAAGCCAGGGAUAGAACCCUGUUCUCUUGACUCUUAGUUUUCCAUCUUAACCACAAGACCAUAAUAAUCCUUAUUUCUCAGAGUCCUAAACAUCUUCAAAUGAGUAAUGAAAUCAUGUUUUGUUUUGUUUUUUUCUUUAACUCCCUGUAUUUUCAUUCCCAAAUGAGAAGAAACUGCAGCGUUAUUUAUCAUCAUUGUCUUUCUUUAACAGGGAGGAAACCUUAUUGACUGACUGCAGUGUGCGAAAAGUGACAAAAGGUCUGUUAAGUAUAAUUCACUUUACUCUUACUAUGUAUCUUUAUUUUCCUCUAGGGAGUAUACAUUUUUAUCCAUUAGCAAACAGGCCUUCCGCUGAAUCUAAUACCCACAUACAUGCCUCUUUGCUAUGCAAGAACAGGCAAAUCUUGUACCAACCCUCCCUAUUCAUUAAGAAGCAAUGUGGUAUCAUAUACACAGCAGGGCUUUGUAUUAUUCCAUGUCUAUUUUGUUUGAGUGCUGUGCAUUUCUACUUAACAAAACCCCAACAAAACAAUGCUCUUGGCAAAGUGUUAUUGUUCCGACACACCUUCCCCAAUUAUUUCAGGGAAAUUCUAUGGCCUGUGAUAUACAGGUUAGUCAGACUAUAAGAUCACAAUGGCCCCUUUUGGCCUUUGAAUCAAUGAAUCUAUUAAAGUAAUUUUGGUAAUGGUCCUAUCAAAGGACCUAAUGUCACUGAGUUUUUUUUGCUUUAGACCUGAUAAAGGUUUGGGCUUCCUGGCUAUGUCUCGCAGAGUCAGAACUUGGUAACAGACUCAGCACUUUAAGGUGGAACGAUUUCUUCUCCUGAAUAAAAAUGCCAGGCUUGAGCUUACACCAGUAAUAGUAAAGUCUAACUAUGUACAGAUUUCCAUAUGGGCAAAAGCCACUCCUUAGUGGCUGCUACUCUGUGGCACCUCUGCAUUUCUAGUGAAUCUUCCUUUUAACUGGUCAUUUUAACAGUCUGAGGAGCAUUUCUUAGAACUGGAAUAAUUUUUAUCACUUUCAAAGAAUCGAAUGAAUAUUCACCUUGGCUUUUAUGAGUGUUUGUGUUUAUUCCAACAUCAUGGAAAUGUUUUGUGUUUAACUGCAGACCUUGCUUACAAACCACCCUACCCAGCUGCAGCCUACUGAGAAUCAUACUCCCAAACUGGAAACCUCACAGCGUAUCCAUGGAAACAAACCACCCUACUAAAGUGACUCGCAAGCAGUUCAAUCUGGAGGUCGGCGUCUACCUGAAUAAUGACUGAAGGACCACACAUCCAAAUCUGGCAUCAUCUCUGGUUUGCCCAGAGAUGGCAUAAUGGGAAGCAAAAGUAUACACUGAAGACCAAGUUGCCAAUUUGCAAAUGUCCAAAAUAGUCAGCUGGGCCAGAAAAGCCACAGAGACUGCGUGAGAUCUGGUCAAAUGCACUAGCACUCUAUUCAGUGGCAAUACAUCAGCCCGGUUGUAGCACAAAUUAACACAACAGGAGAUCCACAAGGAGAUCCUUUGAGGAGAGACUGGAAGAGACUCUGUCUGCAAUCGCUACAAACAAUGGAGAUGAUGACCUAAAUGGUUUAGUCCUGUCCAGGUGAAACGCUAAGGAUUAGGAAAGAAAGUUGAUCAAUAUAGUGCCUGAUUGAUGUGGACGUGAGAUAUCACCUUAGUGAGAAACUUCGGAUGAGGGCGUGGGAAUAUCCUGUCCUUGCAAGAGACCAUAUACAGAGGUCCAGAAACUAGUGUUUGUAAUUCGCCCACUCUCCUAGCUGAGGUAACUGCAACCAAAAAGUCUGUCUUUAUGGAAAGAUGGAGAAAUAAACAGGUAGCCAAUGGUUCAA